RNAcentral lists this ribosomal RNA (497 nucleotides) under uncultured bacterium. RNAcentral describes it as "partial 16S ribosomal RNA". It matches the Rfam family "Bacterial small subunit ribosomal RNA", at positions 28 to 507 of the family's 1533-position model. The record is from RNAcentral.
GAUGAACGCUGGCGGCGUGCCUAAUACAUGCAAGUCGAGCGAACGGACGAGAAGCUUGCUUCUCUGAUGUUAGCGGCGGACGGGUGAGUAACACGUGGAUAACCUACCUAUAAGACUGGGAUAACUUCGGGCAACCGGAGCUAAUACCGGAUAAUAUUUUGAACCGCAUGGUUCAAAAGUGAAAGACGGUCUUGCUGUCACUUCUAGAUGGAUCCGCGCUGCAUUAGCGAGUUGGUAAGGUAACGGCUUACCAAGGCAACGAUGCAUAGCCGACCUGAGAGGGGGAUCGGCGACAGUGGAAGUGAGACACGGUCCAGACUCCUACGGGAGGCAGCAGUAGGGAAUCUUCCGCAAUGGGCGAAAGCCUGACGGAGCAACGCCGCGUGAGUGAUGAAGGUCUUCGGAUCGUAAAACACUGUUAUUAGGGAAGAACAUAUGUGUAAGUAGCUGUGCACAUCUUGACGGUACCUAAGCAGAAAGCCACGGCUAACUACGUG